This is a long non-coding RNA of Sardina pilchardus (European sardine), 831 nucleotides long. RefSeq lists it as uncharacterized. NCBI's taxonomy places the organism in Eukaryota, Metazoa, Chordata, Actinopteri, Clupeiformes, Clupeidae. The record is from RefSeq and is a predicted model, not a curated record. The transcript has 6 exons.
GGAAGUUGUGUAUUGGAUGAAGCUGUACUCUUCUAACGCCUACCUUACACUGACAGACUUUGACAAGAUUUGGGAAAGAUUCUUAAAAGUCUUUUAACUAAUGCCCCAUUCAAGCUUUACUCAAAAGACUACUAUCUUUCAAGAAUCUUUCCCAAAUCUUGUCAAAGUCUGUCAGCAUAAGGUAACCUUAAUCAGGAUUUCUGGAGCAAGUUUUCUUGCAGGAAGCUUAAAGAAACAUUCCAUGACAAAUUGAUUGAUUGGUGCCAUGUCUGAGAGAAUGGGAACGGAAGUCAGCGGCGCAGUGCAUUCUGGGACAAAAAGGGCAUUUUCCUCCAUUAGGUGACCUGACGAUCGUGGGCACGGACGUUACAUCCAACAACACAACAGCAAAACGACCUGCUCACAUCUGAAGGAGGUGCAGUAGGACACACAGUAGGCUUGUUGGUCCAUCAUGCCGUUCAACCCCAUUUCCUCAGUUGAUCAACCUUCAAGUUUGCAGAGACAUCAUAUAGAAAUGCUCUCUCCCUAUGCUGGUGUUCCUGAUCCAUGCAGUGGUGUCAGAAAGGGUUGAUGUAGCUCCUGAGCUCCUUCUAGCCUGGAUGGAUUUUUGAUGUCCAGAACUCACCUUUUUUGAUUUCGCAAGCCACAGAAAGGCAACACCUUUGUGACAUCUCAAUGGUUUGUGCACCUGGGCUAUUCCAUGCCAAAAGACUGUUGAAAUCUUUGGACUUUUGCCCUAAUCACUAUGUAGGAAUGGACACAUUCCUGGUAAUUAUCAACACCUUAUGUUUACUGAUGGGACAAAGAAAACUGUAAUUUCUAAGAAUAAAA